Molecule: ribosomal RNA, 509 nt
Filed under: uncultured bacterium
Lineage: Bacteria
Description: partial 16S ribosomal RNA
Rfam family: Bacterial small subunit ribosomal RNA
Source: RNAcentral
ACGAACGCUGGCGGCGUGCUUCACACAUGCAAGUCGAACGAAGAGCGAUGGAAGCUUGCUUCUAUCAAUCUUAGUGGCGAACGGGUGAGUAACGCGUAAUCAACCUGCCCUUCAGAGGGGGACAACAGUUGGAAACGACUGCUAAUACCGCAUACGAUCUAAUCUCGGCAUCGAGGAUAGAUGAAAGGUGGCCUCUACAUGUAAGCUAUCACUGAAGGAGGGGAUUGCGUCUGAUUAGCUAGUUGGAGGGGUAACGGCCCACCAAGGCGAUGAUCAGUAGCCGGUCUGAGAGGAUGAACGGCCACAUUGGGACUGAGACACGGCCCAGACUCCUACGGGAGGCAGCAGUGGGGAAUCUUCCGCAAUGGACGAAAGUCUGACGGAGCAACGCCGCGUGAGUGAUGACGGCCUUCGGGUUGUAAAGCUCUGUUAAUCGGGACGAAAGGCCUUCUUGCGAAUAGUGAGAAGGAUUGACGGUACCGGAAUAGAAAGCCACGGCUAACUACGUG